GUAACUUCGAUACACAGAUAGACCGCAAUUAAACGCAAUGUGCUAACAUGAGGAUCAUCAACAUUAGCUGCCAUCCAAGAGUUCUGUGUUAUCUGACCAAUGACAAACAACAGGUGACUGAAAGCAGCGAUGGAGAAGUACAAGUAUCCUUUGUUUUGAUUUAGAUACUGCACAUAAGGCUUAAACCCUGUGUCUCCCACUUCCUUUUCUUCCUGCUUAAUCAGUUGAUCUCCUUGAGAGGUUUUAAUCUGACCCUCUACAUAACUCUUCUGGAUCUCCAUAACAGAUGAUCCCUGUCUCUGCGGAGCAUCAACCUCGGUAUGCCUUUCAGAACCAGCUGUUUCUUUGUGUGCAUUGACAAGGUCCAGAAAUUCUUGGCUUGACAACAAUAACUGAUGAUAAGGAGCGGCUUGUAGGAUUUCUCCAUCUGACAUCACCUGUUUACCAAGAUAAGCUGUCUCAAGGUAGUUCUUUUGUGAAAGCUUUAACAAACAAAUUUUAUGGAAAAAUUGCUUUAACGUGAAAAUGAAGUUUAAUCAGCCAUAGAAUUGUAACAAGUAACUAAUUAUUUCCUAAAAGUGAUUGAAUCAAAGGAUGCUAACCAUAACAGAGUCAAAUGCUGGCAGGAAAUCAACUUGAUGAGUCACAAGCAAGACUGUUUUCCUUGAAAGUGCUCCCAUGAUAUAUUCCUGUAAAGAAUCAAGUCAGAAUUGAGGGAAGGCUAGCAACUAAGAGUGGAGACAGAGGUUUCUAUCAGGAAAAUUUGAUUACAUUGAAUAAACUUGUAGCUGUGUGUGCAUCCACAGCGCUGAAUGGAUCAUCCAAGAGAUAUAUAUCUGCAUUCUGAUAGAGAGCCCGGGCAAGUUGAAUUCGCUGCUUUUGACCACCACUCAAAUUGACUCCUCUUUCACCUAUUUCAGUUAGAUCACCAUAAGGAAGCAACUCAAGGUCCUUUACCAAAGAGCAUCGCUCAAGUGUGUCAUGGUAUCGUUGCCUAUCCAUUUCCGAACCGAAUAGAAUGUUCUCUUUUAUCGAUCCCGUCUGGAUCCAAGCUGUUUGCGAAACAUAGGCAAUCCUACCACAAACCUGAAUCUGCAGGUCAUAAAGACCAAAAAAAGGCUCACUUAUGAAAUAGGAAAUAAAAUUUGCAUUAAGGCACAUUUGUUCUUAAGAAACUCCAAAAGGUUAAGGACUGGAAGAGCAUGGCAAGAUACAUAUAAGAAGAUUAAACUGGAAGUUCUAAAAGGAUACACUCACAGUUCCCUGUGUAUGUGGAACUUCUCCAAGAAUUGCUGCUAAAAGGGUCGACUUGCCAGAGCCAACUUCUCCACAUAUGGCCACCUUUUCACCAGGCCGAAUUCCAAAACUCACAUUUCUCAAUGUAGGCUUUGAAGAAUUCUCUUCCCAUUAAAAAUUAGCUGACUUGAUUAAAACAGCAUGGUCCACACUCCCCAUGUUGCGCUUGUGCAGAACAUUUCCAUUCUGCAACUCUGGCGCUUCAAGAAACUUCACAAUACGUGCAAAAGCUACCUUUGCUUGAAUAACCACUCCAAUAACAUCAGGGAUUGAUCUAAUUGGGUCUUGAACAAGACCCAAAGUCACCAAAAAAGUGAAAACAUUAUUAGCAUGCAGAGGAAUUUUCAGGAAAUAGCAUGCUCCAAAGGUAGCAGCAGAGACCAAAACAGGAGAAGACCAGAAGAGAAAACCAUUAUAUGCUUUGUGCGUUUGCACUGCUGACAACCAUUUAUACUCUACAUUUCUCAAAUUUUCUAUGGCAUUCUUCAAAUGCGUUUCCCAAGCAUAUAAUUUCAAUACCUUCAUGUUAACCAGAGCCUCAUUACAAGCCUUCAAUCUCGCAUCUUGUGCCACCAUAAGCUUAGACUGAAACUUAUGCUGUAACUUUGCAACUGGAGUGUUGCAUAGCACAGUAAUUAUUAUAACCACUAAGGCAGCAAGUGUUGCUAGCCCCACUGCACGGAAAAGAAUUACAAGAGAGAGACAAAGCUGAAAGCUUGUUGUCCAUGUCUGAUGAAACCAGAAGGGAAACUCGCCUAUCCUGUAAGCAUCCACAGUAACAUAGUUCAUGAUCUCACCACCCGAGUGCAUCAACCCACCAACAUUGGAUAACCUCUGUUGCUUCUUAUAUAUUGCAGCCAUGAGCAAGGACCUGACUUUCAAACCAACAAGCCUGCUCCUAAAAUACCAUUGCCUUUGUGAUAAGGACUCUAAGCUCUUUGAAAAGAAGAGCGUCAGAACAAGUACAUAACCUUCAUAUUUAAAACCUGCUUUUCCUUCAGCAACCAAAAUGAAGGCAUUCAGAAGCAGAGGCCCAGCUGACAAAGUAAGUAUCUUUAGCAUUGCAAAGAAUCCUGAAAUUACAAUGUCUUUCCAGUGGCAAAAUACAAUUGUCCACAAGAGAGAUGGCUGAGAUGAUUCAGCUUGUUUUUGUUUGUUCAGUUGCUCCAAAAACUCCAUAUAACAGCUUUCUGCUCGUUCUGCCUCUCGCAACUUUGGUAUAUCCUCAUCCUCUAGAGUUUUCUCCUUACCCUUUCUCAUCAGUGGAUUCAACCACCAAAAUGACAUUUUAUUGAAGAAUCCUGCUUUAGCAAAUGGAGUAACUUGGUCAGCGGAAUCGAUUUUACUUGCACCAUCGGCCUCACCAUUCAGUGGAGCAUACAGGUCCCUUUCUUCAUUCCCCUCGUGUUUAUAAACCUUGUAAACACAUAACAAUAACAAUAUUGCUCCUGGAAAGGAGAGGACAUCCAAAGCUAUCUUAACCAACAUUCCUUCACCUAAAAUGGCGCUGUAUAUGGACAAAGCACAGACAAUACCAGCAAGCAAGGAAGCAAGAAUGGACAAUAGCCGCAAUGGCGUUCUUUGAAGAUGCUUCCCUCGAAGGCUUAUGGUCAAACCCACCAAAAGCCAUGUAAAUCCCUGAAACAGCACCACUAACCAACUUCUCAAUGGCAAGGCAGUCUGGUUUUUCCUCAACUUCUCUUCCAAAAUCCAUGUGCCCAAGCACAAGUACACAAAUCCGAUACCACCAUUGAGUAUAACAGAAACUAUCUGCAGACUCGAAUAGCCUCUAUAUCGAGGUGUUAUUUUAUAUAUUUUUUGAAGAUGCUGAAGAUAUUCGCAUGAAAGUGAACAAGAGCACGAUUAGAAGCAAAACAUCGAAGCAAAUGAUCAGCGCGUGAUUGAUACAUGAAGUUGGUUGAAAUACCAAGCUAGAACCAGAUGGCUUUCCACUUGUAUCCGAGUUGACAGAUUCCCCACAAAACAACGUCCACAGGUCUUCCAUUAUCUUUCCUUUCCUGCUUACUUUUCAACUCCUGCUUUGGCAUACAAUGUAAGAAAACAAUGCUCUGUGUUACAAGAAAAAUCAUCAAUUAAUCAAAUCUUCAAAACCACUUAACAAUAUCUAGUUGUCAAUUAUCAGUGAUUUUUUAAUGAAGAAGAAGAAGAAGCAUUUUUCACACACACCCCACAAUGAUAAGUACCAUCACUCGCAAAGAACUAAAGAUUAAAGAAAAUGUGAUCAUAAAAAAGCAAGAAAGGAGAAACAAAAGGUAGAGAAGUAAUCCUACGAAAAGAUAAAAACUUCAUCAUUAGUUCAUUACCUAUUCUUUUUGGGCAAAACAAAAGGUCUACCUUUAAUACACGACAAAAUAGUAUUUCUUAAUGACCAACAGACAAUGUGAGAUCCUCAAAAAUAUUUAACAAGCAAUUCUUGCUAAAGAUAUUAUAAAAAAUCGAACGUCAGCCAAUCUUGAGUUCAUAAGAAAUAAAAGAGUUCAGGUUUGCAUUCAUUCAAACAGCAGUAGGGCACACCUGGAUAACAUUUAAAAGAAUAAGAAGACUAACCUGAAAAUUGCACCAAACCUCAAAAUUUACAAGCCAAGAUUUAUUAAUGUUCCAUUUCAGAGUUUUUGAGGUCUCUCCCUCUGUGUUAAGUGUUUAGGACUCGGAGUGGAACCAGAAUUUCAGAGAGAAAGUGACGCUGUAGUGUUGUUAAAUACUUUAUUUUAUUAUUAUUAAUAUGAAUAUUUAGCCCACUUAUAUGUAUUUUGAUUAAUUUAAUGGAUUUUAAAAUUAAUUUUUAGUGGUUAAAAUAAAAGUAAAUUCAAAAUAUAACCUGUAGAGCUUCACUAACAAAUACUUGGAUAUAUUAGUAGGGUUGCAAGAUAGGAAAAGGAGGGAGGAAUUGUGAUGUUGCUAGGCAUGCAUAUAUGGGAUGGAACAGAGUCCUGUGUCGUCCUUCUUGUAGAAAUACCAAUAAAUACUUCUACCAAUCAUUUUCGAUUACGAAAAAUAAUUAAAUAUUCUAUUAUUUCAUGAUUAUGAUACGAAUUCAAUUUCUAUGAAUAUCGAUAUACAGGAAAGAAAGAAGAAAAAGGAUCUCUUUUUUUUCUUUAAUCGUCAUGGCUCACGUAAGAUCGGUCUGUUGACAUGUACCCGUCUUGUUUUGGCUUGUUUCGGCUUUCGAACAAAGAGGCCGAUCUUGCUGGCCGACCAGUAGUCUCUUUCCUUUCUACUGCUCUUAAUCUUUAUUCUACUUUUGUUUCAAAUUCAUAUUCCAAUUGGCUUCUCCAUGGUUUUGUUUUAUUUGUGAAGUAAAAAUGUUUUAAAAAAUAUUUAUUUUUAAAAAAAUUAAUUAUUUUAAUGUUUUUAGAUUAUUAUGAUAUGUUAAUAUCAAAAAUAAAUUUUAAAAACUUAAAAAUAAUAAUUUAAUAUAUUUUUAAAUAAAAAAAUAUUAUUUCAUACAACAAAAUAACACUUCUCGCAUGCUAUUAUCAUGAAGUUUCUAAUGCAUUGAUGAAGAAAUUGAUAAAAUUUAUUUUUUUUUAACAAAAUUGAGAAUCCAUGACAAAAAUAAGUAAAAAAUAAUACACAAUAAAAGAUUGUAUAGAGAAACUGUUGGCCUUAUCAUGAUUGUCCUAUUUAAACCAUCAAUUAUAGAAAUAUACUAGUUAUAUAACCCGCGCGAUGCUAUUGGUCAAUUUGUUUUGCAUAAAAAAUAUAUAAAAAAGCUAAAAUCUAAAAGUAUUAGGUUUUUCUGUGAAGCUAUACCUAAAAAUCUUGGGUUUGAAUGUAACGCAUGACCUAAAAGUAAUAUUUAUAAUAUUAAUAAUAACAUUAAACUUGCAUGACCUAAGUUUAAAUGAAUUUAACUGCAAUACCAGACCCAAUAGUCUUGAAAAAUUAUAUGUAGAAAAAUUGUUGCAAUCCACAAUGUUUUCAAGGAAAAAGCUACAAACCUAAAUUCUCAAUCAGAUUAAUAUUUAAAAAAUUAAACAAAGAAAAUUUUAAAAAAAAUCAUAAAAAAAAAAAUUCAUGUGAGGGAACACUGUAGCAAUCCACAAUGUUUUUAAGAAAAAAAACCACAAAGCUAAAUUCUCAACCAACUCAAUAUGAAAAAAAUAGAAUCGACAAAGACUAUUAUGGGAAGAAAAAAAAACCAUAAAAAAAGGCAAAAAAAACCAUGUGGAGAAACACUGUAGCAAUCUACAGUGUUUUAAAUAAAAAACUACAAAGCUAAAUUCUCAACCAGCUCGAUAUUUAAAAAAAUAAAAUAAAAAAACACCAAAAAAAAAGACAAUUUUGGGGAAAAAAAAGAAGCAAUAAAAAAUAAAAAAAAAACAGAAAAAAAAACAUGUGGGAAAAAUUAAAGAUGAAUUUUCAACCAGCUCGAUAUUAAAAAAAAAUCCAUAAAGAUAAUUUUAAAAAAAAACAUGUGAGGAAACACUGUAGUAAAACAAAAACAUUGUAGAGAAAUAUUGUAACAAUCCAUAGUAUUUUAAAGAAAAAAAACUACGAAGCAAAAUCAACAAAGACUAUUUUGGGAAAAAAAUUUCAUAAAAAAAGCCAUGUAGUGAAACAUUGUAGUAAUCCAUAAGUUUUUCUUUAAAAAACUAAUGAAGAAAAGGAACAAAAAUCUGAAUGAACUGGGUUAACCCUUCAAAGCAGGUUAAUCCGUCAAACCUUGGAUUCGCGUCGUGACAGUUUGAUAACUAAAUAGAAAAAAAAACUGAUAGGUUACCCAUAAUUAAUUGGGCUAACCCGUUAAACCCGGAAUCCGUCUCAUAAAAAUUUGAUAACUAAAUAGAAAAACAUUUAAUAUCAAAAAAUUAAUUAAAAAAUUAAUUAAAAAGAAAAAAGAAAAAGAAAAAGAAGGCAUCAACCUUUUCACUAUGGAUUGCACUGUGCAGUCCACAGUGAAAGGCAUAAAAAAAAACCUAAAGGCAUCAACCUUUUCACUGUCGACUCCAUGCAAUAUUAAAAGAUGAAAUCGGAAGAAAAAAACUAAUGAGAAAAAAGAAAAAAAAAAUCUGAAUCAACUGGGUUAACUCGUCAAAUCAGGUUAACCUGUCAAACCUGGGAUUUGUGUCAUGAAAGUGUGAUAACUAAAUAGAAAAAAAAUUUAAUAUUAAUGAACUAAAUUUAAAAGAAAAAAGAUUAAUUAAAAAGGAAAAAGUAAAGAAAAAAAAACCUACGGGAAGACAAAAACUAAUGAAGAGAGAAAAAUCUGAAUCAACUAGGCUAAACUAAUGAAGAAAAAAAUUAAUAUUAAAAAACUAUAUAAAAAAAUAAAGUAAAGGCAUAAGAUUUUUCGCUGUGCAGUCCAGAAUAAAAGGCUUAAAAAGGGAAAAAAACCAAAGACAUAGGCCACGGGUUAAUUUUUUUUUUCGUGUAUAAAAAAUAUAAAAAAGGCUAAAAUCUAAAAGUGUUAGGUCUUUCUGCCAAGAUAUACCAAAAAGCCUUGGGUCUAGCUGCAACGCUUGAUCCAAGAGUAAUAUUUAUAAUAUUGAUAAUAAUAUUAAACUUACAUAACUUAAGUUUAAGUGAGUCUGGCUGCAACCCCGAACCCAAGAGCAUUAGAUGUGGGUCUGGCUAUAAGGUCGUGUCAUAAAAGUGUGAUAACUACAUAGAUUAAUUAAAAAGAAAAAAAGAGGAAAAAAAAACCAAUAGAAAGAAAAAAACUAAUGACGAAAAAGAAAAAAAUCUGAAUUAACCGAGUUAACCCUUCAAGCCAGGUUAACCCGUCAAACUUGGGAUCCGCGUCAUGAAAGUUUGAUAACUAAAUAGAAGAAAAAAAAUUGACUGGUUUACCCAGAAUUAACCAGGUUAACCCGUCAAGCCUUGAAUACAUGUCAUGAAACUCUGAUAAUUAAAUAGAAAGAAAUUUAACAUUAACAAACUAAACUAAACAAAAAAAAUUAAUUAAAUAGAAAAAAAAUCCAAGUUAACUCAUCAAACCAAGUUAAUUCAUCAAACCCGAAAAUCGUGUCAUGAAAAACUAAUAACUAAAUAAAAAAAAUUAACAUUAACAAACUAAAUUAAACAAAAAAAAUUCAUUAAAAGAAAAAUAUAAUAAUAAUAAAAAAGACAACUACAAUACUUUUUAGGAUAUGUUAUAAUAGAAUAGAAUAAUAUAAUAUAAUAUAAUAUAAUAUAAUAUAUUAAUAAUGGGGAAAGUUAAAAGGCAUGGGCAAAACUAUAAAGCUUUCUCCACGCCUUUUAGAGUAUUACAUAACUAGUUAAAUGAUUCGUGCGAUGUCGUAUGUUAAUUUUUUUUAACAUAAAAAAUAUUAAAAAAAAAUUAAGAUUUAAAAGUGUUAGCUCUUUCUACAAAGUUAUAUCCAAGAGUCUUGAGUUUUGCUGCAACACUUGAUCCAAGAGUAAUAUUUAUAAUAUUAAUAAUAAUAUUAAACUUACAUGACUUAAGUUUAAGUGAGUCUGGCUGCAACACCAGACCCAAGAGCACUAGAUGUGGGUCUGGCUAUAAGAUCGUGUCAUAAAAAUAUGGUAAUUAAAAAUAAAAAAACCAACAAGAAGAAAAAAAAACUAAUGAAAAAAAAAAUAUGAAUUAACUGCGUUAACCUUUCAAACCAAGUUAACCUGUCAAACCUAGGAUAUGCCUCAUGAAAGUUUGAUAACUAAAUAGAAAAAAAAAUUGACGGGUUAACUCGUCAAACGAAGUUAACACGUCAAGCCCGGCAUACGUGUCAUGAAAAUCUGAUAAUUAAAUAUAAAGAAAUUUAACGUUAACAAACUAAACUAAACGAAAAAAUUAAUUAAAAAGAAAAACAAUUCCGGGUUAACUCGUCAAACCAGGUUAACUCAUCAAACUCGGGAUCCGUGUCAUGAAAGUCUGAUAACUAAAUAAAAAAAAUUUAACAUUCACAAAAUAAAUUAAAAAAAAUCAUUAGAAGAAAAAUAACGAAAAAAAUAAAAACAAAAAUUUAACAUUUACAUGGGCUGGCUGACGUCCCAGCCCAAGCCCAAAUGGUUGGUUACUGUGUGCACAGUAACCUGGUUACUGUGUGCACAGUGAAUUAAUUUGCCAAGUUACUGUACACAUGCACAGUAACCGGGUAAUUAAUUCUUGCAUGCAGAGUGCAUGUUCUGCAAGCAAGAAGAUGAAUAGUAAAACGAGAUAAGGGGUUGAGGGCUGACCUGUGGUGGCUGUCGUCGAUGGCGGAGCUGCUGGUGGCGACAGGAAGCGGCGCUGACAGUGGGGUGGCUGCCGGUGGCUCUGCGUUUUCCUUCUCUCUCUCCUUUAUUUUUUUUCGUUUUCUCCUCUGCUCUCCUUCUUCUUCUUCUUCUUCUUCUAUGUUCUCCCUUCUCUCUCUUUUCCCCUCUCUUUGCUCUCCCUUCUCUUCUCUUCCCCUCUCUCGGGUCUUUUUUUUUUCUUUCUCUCCUUUUUCUUCUCUUCCUCCCCUGUUUUAUAGCAAAAACAGGGGGGCGAAUGGUGGGGCGGCCACUGUUGGCCGCCCCUCCACUAUCCUUCAAUGGAUAAAAAGGAGGCAAGUGGGUGAAUGGUGGCGUCUUAUUGCGCCAAAUCCGGGAAAGAAGUUCGGCGAAAAGUGGAGAAGAAAAAAAUUCUUCUCCCCUGUUCUCUGCGUGCGCAGGGAAGAAGAUGAUGGUGCCGUUUCAAAACGGCACCGUUUUGGGUUCUUUUUUUUUUUUUUUUUUUUUUUUUUUAAACAGUGCAUGAAACGGCGCCGUUUUGGUCAAAACGCGCCGUUUCAUUUAAAAGGAAAAGGCGCCAAAACGCGUGAUUCAAAUUUCGGCCCUCCAUUUGCGCGCGUUUUACAAUUUAGUCCUUGGUCUCGGAUUUCUUCAAUUAAGUCCCUAAUUGGCCAUUAAACUUCAAUAUUUAUGCAAUUAAGCCCCUGAUUUGACCAAAUUAACUUCCAAAAAUUAUAAUUUGACCCCAGAAAAUUAAUUUCUCCUAAUUAAAGCCCAAAUUAACUCCAAAAUCAAUUUUUCUUGCAAUUAAAAUCUUCAUAAAUGCAAUUAAACCUUCAAUAAAAUUUAAUUGAGUCCAUAAACUUCUGAUUUUGCAUUUUUCUUCCACAAAUUGAAUUUUCUUUAUCAUCGGGGCUCUCAUCAGUCAAUGAUAUACUGUCAAAAAUUAAUUUUUAUAUUUUUGAACAUCCUCAAUCAAUUUUUGAGCAUUUUUAGGGCGCUCUGGCAUUUUUUCACUGUUAUAUUUUUUGAUAAUAUAUUUUUUGAAUUUUUUUGUAUUUUAUUAUUUUUUAUGUGGGGACCCAAAAAUGGGUUACAACAGUUGCCCCCCUCUUUACAAUGCUUACGGAGCAAAGAUUUGUGCAUAGUAAGUGUUGUAAAGAUAAAACAAAAUUGGUCUUCCGAAACUGGUCGUCUCAAAAUUUGAUUGACCUAAAACUUCAACCGGACCCAAAGUCCUGUGUGUGGUUGGGCUAAACUGAGAUUCCUUUCGCCAAUCCCCUUUAACCAGAACCAAAAUCCUAUGUGUGGUUGGGAUAGACUGAGAUUCCUUUCGGCAAUCCCCUCUAACCAGAACCAAAAUCCUGUGUGUGGUUGGGAUAGACUGAGAUUCCUUUCGGCAAUCCCCUCUAACCAGAACCAAAAACCUGUGUGUGGUUGGGAUAGACUGAGAUUCCUUUCGGCAAUCCCCUCUAACCAGAACCAAAAAACCUGUGUGUGGUUGGGAUAGACUGAGAUUCCUUUCGGCAAUCCCCUCUAACCAGAACCAAAAUCCUGUGUGUUCAAACCCUUUGUUUUUUUGAAGAUGGUAUAUUUUCACGGGCGAGCUGCCCACACAUACUUAAGGUGGUCUAUUUUCAGGGGCGACCAGCCCACACACUCACGCUGACAUUGGUCUAUUUUCAUGGGCGACCUGCCCAAACAUAAAAGUAAAGAGUGGUCUCAUUGUAAUGGGUGACCUACCCAGAUGGAAAAAAUGUGAAGAAUUGGAUGGCGAGGGCUUAAAGGCACACUCGAAAAGAGGUAGGGUUAGAAAAAUGCACUACCAAAGGAGUUGAGGGCUCAAAGGCGCACUCAAAAGGAGGUGAGGGCUCAAAGGCGCACUCAAAGGGAGGUAGGGUUAGAAAACGCACUACCCAAGGGAUGAGGGCUCAAAGGCGCACUCAAAAUGGAGGUGAGGGCUCAAAGGCGCACUCAAAGGAGGUAGGUUAGAAAACGCACUACCUAAGGAAUGAGGGCUCAAAGGCGCACUCAAAAGGCGGUGAGGGCUCAAAGGCGCACUCAAAGGGAGGUGAGGGCUCAAAGACGCACUCAAUAGGGAGGUAGGGUUAGAAAAUGCACUACCUAAGGGAUGAGGGCUCAAAGGCGCACUCAAAAUGGAGUUGAGGGCUCAAAGGCGCACUCAAAAGGAGGUAGGGUUAGAAAACGCACUACCUAAGGGAUGAGGGCUCAAAGGCGCACUCAAAGGGCGGUGAGGGCUCAAAGGCGCACUCAAAGGGAGGUGAGGGCUCAAAGGCGCACUCAAUAGGGAGGUAGGGUUAGAAAACGCACUACCUAAAGGAUGAGGGCUCAAAGGCGCACUCAAAAUGGAGUGAGGGCUCAAAGGCGCACUCAAAAGGAGGUAGGGUUAGAAAACGCACUACAAGGGAUGAGGGCUCAAAGGCGCACUCAAAAUGGAGGUGAGGGCUCAAAGGCGCACUCAAAAGGAGGUAGGGUUAGAAAACGCACUACCUAAGGGAUGAGGGCUCAAAGGCGCACUCAAAAUGGAGGUGAGGCUCAAAGGCGCACUCAAAAGGAGGUAGGGUUAGAAAACGCACUACCUAAGGGAUGAGGGCUCAAAGGCGCACUCAAAAUGGAGGUGAAGGCUCAAAGGCGCACUCAAAAAGAGGUAGGGUUAGAAAACGCACUACCUAAGGAUGUGUUGAAACACUGAUCUGUCAAUAUGAAAAGAAAAAUGCAUUAUGAGUGAUAUGCAUGUAUACUUACCUGAGAAAUAUAGGCCCCUAUUUUUUCAUGGUGUCUUUGUUUUCUCUCAAAAGUUGUAGUGUUGGUAGUAAACUUCGAUGGCUUUUCCACUUCUGCUUACUCGGGUUACACAUUGUAAUCUUGACCUCUGGGAAGGGUUUGAUGUCAUCAUACAUCUUUGUCCUUCACCCUUUAUCUCAAGAGUUACCAAUUUUGCCCGACAUUUUCCUUAGAAAAGGAAUCAUGGAGCCAACCCUACCAUGUGUUUUUGAUUGCCCCCCCCAGCUUGAUCAUGCCCCCCAAGUGUUCAACUUGAGUUUAGUUUGGGGUGAGGAUAUGUGAAAGUGGGGUUUUUGUUACAAUGAAAUGUUUUCAUGCAAAAUUUUUGGAACGUCCAAGUUAUUCCAAUCACAAAAAUGAUUUUGACAUUGGUUCAAAAUAAACUUGUUCUAAAAAAUUCAAGUGAUUCCUAUGGACAAGUUUCUUGAAGUGAUGAAAGCUUUUUGCUUCUGGUUUAAAGAUGAAGUGACAUCUAGUUGGUCACAAAAGGUUUAAAUGUCAAUUUGAGGGUUAUUGAGAACCGAAUUGAUUCAAAGCAUUUAUUUUAUUUGCAUGAAUAAUGAUUUGACCCGCACAUGAAAGCACUGGCUACCGAUCCAGAUUGCUUGCCUUUCAUCAGAAAGGGCUUUAUCAGGUAUGUAAUGUAGGCUUUGGCUAUUGGUUAUGAAGAAAAGGAUAUAUUACAGGCUCAAAAAGUGUUCAAGGGAUUUCAAAAACUAAGGAUCACUUGUGCUUGUUUCCUGACCUUUUGUCUUUUGGAUUUGUUUUCAAAUGAUUUGCCCUGCCCCCCAGUGUCGGGUUUGGGCUUUUCUCUUUGUUUUCUUCGUUUUUAUUUCGUUGAGCACAAUCAUAUGUAUGAGAAGCUCAAAUCUUUUAACCAAUUGCAAUAUUUCUCUUCAUUGUUUCAUUUGGAUGAUAAUGAAAGAUGAAACAUUACAUGAUCAAUUCCAGCACCAUCUUCACUGCUUUGUCUGGAUGGUAAAAACAACAAACUCUCUUAUUUUGCCCCCAGUGUGGGGUGUGAUCCUAGUCAAGGUUAUUUCCAAAAAACAUUACUAGGCUCAAAAUGGGACUGCAAAGGAUAUAUUUCAGCCUUGUGAAAGGAUUAUCAAAGAUGGCCUUUCCUCAUCUCAAAUGCACUGCAUUGAGGAUCGAUAGGUCUUGCUUUCAUGCGCGUAUGCAAAGUGAUUUAUUCAGUCAAAUAAAACUCAGCUUUUGAGUCACCUCAUAGUGUUGUUUAUCUUUGUUGUCUUUUUUUCUUUCAAGUUUUCUAGGUAUAUGUGUACCUAUUUAAGGAAUCACUUGAAUUUUCAAAAUGCAUUUGUUUUGGACAAAUAUCAACACGAUUUUUGUUUUUUUGUACUCACUUUGGAGGUCCCAAAAAAAUAUCCUUGAAAACAUAUGAGAUUAAUGUAUGGGUUUGGAAGAAAGGAAACCAAAGGAUUCUUCAUGUUGUAGUGUUGUGAGCAAAGUUGCGCUCAAAAUGUUAUUUACAUGUAAUAACAACAAAGAAGAGUGUGAUGUGAACACAAGAAAACACAUGAUCUUAUUUCACAAGAGAAGCUCAUUAACAGAGAAAGUCUUGUUCAAAAGCAUUAACAAAAGGCAAUAACAAGGCAGGCUUCAUUCCUCUAUUUUGGCGAAUCUGUUCAUAGGCUAACCUCCUCUCAAAAGCUCUGUGAGGACUCAAAGACAAUGCGGAACAACACCACGGUCAAAUUUGAGUUCUAAAAAUUCAAGCUAUCAUGCUGGACCAUUGAUGCUUUCCAAUUCCCCAAACAUUCCAUCCUAAUAUGCUUCAAGCAUGAUUAGGCAGCGGGUUCGUAUUCACAUUGGGGAUCUUCCAAUUCUAUCCACCCAGCCUUGAUUAAUUGCAGAAGCUUUCUCUUGAAGGCGUUGCAGGUAUAGAUGCUAUGCCCAGUAAUACCGGCAUGGUAUUCACAAUUGAGUUCUGGCUUGUACCAAUUAGGAUAAGGUGGCUGCAGAGGUGUCAGAGGUUCUGGAGCUAUUUGCCCGAUGCUCAAUAGCUUUUGAUACAUCUCAUUCAGGGGUAACGGUAGUGGAGGUAGUUGUUCUUGAACCCUUUGGAAAUUUCCAAUUUGGCUUUUGGCUUGAAAGUUUUGGGGUUCAGGUUUUCUGAUGUUGGCAAUUUGGGAUGGAUUAUGGUAAUUUUGGGAUGUAUUUGUUUUACCCAUGUAGCCAUCUUCAACAUGGUGAACCUUUUUUUUUCGAUGCCUCUUUUCUCGGUUGGUGUAGCAAUUCUACCACUCUUGACACCUUGCUCUAUGCGUUCACACACUAUCAUAGCAUCAGUGAAUUGUUGGGCUGAACUACCCAUCAUAUGUUCGUAAUAUGGUGCUUUGAGUGUGUUGGCAAAUAAAGAGACCAUCUCUUUGUCCAGAAGUGGGGGAUGUACUUGAGCAGCUAAUUCUCGCCAUCUUUGAGCAUAUUCCCUUAUGCUUUCUUUAUCCUUUUUCUCUAUAUUGAACAAACUGGUUCUGUCAGGCGCAAUGUCCAUGUUGUACUUGUAUUGCUUGACGAAAGCAUCCACAGUUGCGAAUUUUUGUGUUAUCCAAUCUCAUAUACCAACUCAAAGUUGCCCCACUUAAACUGUCUUGGAAAAAGUGCAUUAGUAGUUUUUCAUCAUGUACUACCUCAGCCAUUUUAUUGCAGUAGGACCUGAGAUGGGUCAUGGGGCAUUGGGUUCCAUUGUAUUUGAUGAAUUCAGGAACACGAAAUUUCUUUGAGAUAACCACAUUUGGGACCAAACACAUCUCUGCUGCCCGUACCGGGUCAUAUAAGUCUAUCCCUUCAAUGGCUUAUCAUGGAUUAGUAAAAGCUGACAUGCCCGCGCGAUGCCGCGAGCUUGGGGCAUUAUCAUGGAUUUGUGAAAAAAAUCAUAUAAAAAAACUAUUAUCAUCCACAAUAUUUUAAAGGAAAAAACUACAAAGUUAUAUUCUCAACCAGCUCAAUAUUAAAAAAAAAAAAUUGACAAAAACAAUUAUGAAAAAAAAACACAAAAAAAAUGAAAAAAAGAACACAAGUUUGGAAGGAAAAAAAAGCAAAAAGCAAAUAAUAAAAAAAUGGGAAAAAAACAUGUGGGGAAAGUUAAAGCUAAAUUUUCAACCAACUCAAUAUUAAAAUCGUUUAAGAAAACACUGUAGCAAUCUAAAAUGUUUUGUGAGGAAAUAUACAAUUAUAAUUUCCAACUAGCUCAAUAUUAAAAAAAAAUCAACAAAGAUAAUUUUGACAAAUAUAAAAAAAACGAAAGGAAAAAAAACAUGCAAGGAAACACUAUAACAAUCUAUAGUGUUUCAUAGAAAAAUCUACAGUUGUAAUUUUUAACCAACUCAAUAUUAAAAACAAUAAAAACGAUAAAGAAAAUUAAAAAUAAAAAACAUUAAAAAAAAUCAUAUGGGAAAACAUUGUAGUAAUCAACGAUGUUUUAAGGAAAAAAAGCUAAAUUGUCAACCGGCUUAGUAUGGAAAAAAUAAAUUUGAUAAAAACAUAUUUGGAAAAAAAAUAUCGAUAAAAAAAAAAACAUGUGGAGAAACACUGUAGCAAGACAAAAAUCAUGUGGGAAAACACUGUAGCAAUCUAAAGUGUUUUAAAUAACUACAAAGCUAAAUUCUCAAUCAGCUUAAUAUAAAAAUGAUAAAAUCGACAAAGAUAAUUCUGAAAAAAAAAUUAUUUAAUAAAAAACAAUGUAGAGAAACACUAUAGUAAUCUAGUGUUUUAAAGAAAAAAAUUAAAAAACUACAUUCUCAAUCAGUUCAAUAGUAAAAAAAAUAAAAUCAACAAAAAUAAUUAUAAAAAAAAAAGAGAGAAAAAUAAAAAAGAAGGAAAAUUUCGAGAAAAAAUUAUAAAAAUGAAAAAAAAAAAACAUGGAGAAAGUUAAAGUUAAAGCUAAAUUCUCAACCAGCUUAAUAUUGGAAAAAUAAAUUUGACAAAGAUAAUUUAAAAAAAAAAACAUGUCAGGAAAAUACUACAGUCAAACAAAAACUAUGUAAGGGAAACACAGUAGCAAUCCAUAGUGUUUUUUUUUAUUUUUUGAAAAAAGCUACAAAGUUAAGUUCUCAACUAGCUCAAUAUAUAAAAAAAACCGACAAAGACUAUUUUUUUUUUUUAAAAAAAAUCAAUUUUGUGUUAAAAAAAUGAAAAAAAAAACAUGUAAAAAAAAGGAAACAAAGAAAAAAAAACACGUGGGGAAAGCUACAGUGUUUUAAAGAGAAAAAACUAAAAAACUAAAUUUUCAACUAGCUCAAUAGUAAAAAAAUAAAAUCAACAAAAAUAAUUCUAAAAAAACAAAAAAAAAUGUAAAAAUUGACAAUUUUGGAAAAAAAGAAAAAAAAUAUAAAAAUAUAAAAAAAAACAUGUGGGGAAAACUAAAGUUAGAUUAUCAGCCAGCUCAAUAUUGAAAAAAUAAAUUCGAUAAAGUUAAUUUUUAAAACAAAUAUGUGGAGAAACACUGCAGCAAAACAAAAACUAUGUAGGAGAAACACUAUAGCAAUCCAUAUUAUUUUUUUUAAAAAAAACUAAAAAGCUAAAUUCUCAACUAACUUAAUAUAUAAAAAAUAAAAUCUACAAAGACCAUUUUGAAAAGAAAAAAAAAAUCAUAAAAAAAAAAAAAACAAUGUAUGAGAAUAUUAUAGCAAUCCAUAAUGUUUUAAAGAAAAAAACUACAUAGUUAAAUUUUCAAUCAGCUCAAUAUUUAAAAAAAUUAAAAAAGAUAAUUUUGAAAAAAAAAAACAAGAAGAAGAAGAAGAAGUCAAUUUUGGGUAAAAAAGAAGGAAAAAAAACAUAUAAAAAAAAAACAAAAACAAGUAAAAAAACAGCUACCGUUAAAAAUCUCCACGUUUUAAAGUAUUGUUAAUAAUAAUUAUUUUGAGAAGACUUGUAAGAUAUGGAAUGCAUAAUUUAGAUAGAUAAGACAGACGACAUUUUAGACUAAAAGUAUAAAUUAGGCCUGCUUGGAACACUGAUGAAUUUGUAUUUUUAAAAAAUUAAAUUUUUUUUAUAUUUUAGAAUCGUUUUUAAUUAAUGUGCUAAUCUUAAAAAUAAUUUUUAUAAAAAUUAAAAAAUAUAUUAUUUUAAUAUAUUUUUAAAUAAAAAAUAUUUUAAACCGUAAUUAAAACUACACUCCCACACAAAAUUUUAUUGAAAUCUAUGCAUGCAUGUAUAUAAAUUGAUAUUACCCGAAUAGUUUAUGGUAUAUUUGAGGUUUGCCAAUUUUUUUAUGUACAGCUUAAUAUUCCCAUCUCAUUAAUUUUACAAUUUUCUUAUAUUUGGUAUAUAUUAUUAACUAGUAACUUGCUACCAUAUAUGAUCAUGUUGCUAAGUUCAUAAUCCCCAUGGGCAUAGGUUGAUAUGAUAGUUAAGGAGAUUAACCAUGUUCCUUAAUUUUUAAGUUUAUAUUUUGAGGCCAAUAGCUAUGAAAAUUUAUGAAUUUCUUUUUAAAUACAUGAAAAUAAUAUAAAAAUGUAAUUUUAAAAUUACUGGAAGGGAUUUUGUCUCAAUUAAAAAUAAGGUUACUAUUGAAUAAAUAAAUAAAUAAAAUUCUUAUUUGUGCAUAUAUCUGCAACAUAUCGUUUAAAAACUUCUAAUAAAGAACAAAUAGCAUUGCCCAAAAUAAGUUAUAACUAUUAAAAUAAUUUGCAUCCAUCAUCCUGUUACAAGUCGAGCAUAGUAAUCUUGAAAGAACAAGAUUAAUCUAAAAUGUCGUUUAAUUAUUUUUUAAAAAGAUAUUAUUUUAAUAAAAACUCAAGAAGAAAGAUCAAAGCAAGUUUUAACUUGAUUGCUGGUGAAAUACAACCCGAGGAUGAUGUAAAGGAUGGAUUAAAUUUGUUGAUGAUAAUUUUUCCAAUUUUCACCAACUAAGAUUAACAAAAACUAAGCUCUUGACACUUGUGAAAAAUGGCUGAGUGCACUCAAUUUCCCAGUAGAUAUUAGCAAGCUUGAUGUUUGAAUACAGGUGCAAAACUAAGGAUAGGAACUGAUAUUCCUCUUCUCCAUUUCUCCUCCCUAGCCCUAUAGUAUUGUUGCAAUAUCAUACAUCAUACUUCCUACCUAGUCCUGGAAAUGAGAAGUGGGAUACACGAUAAAUAAUAUUCAGCUUCAAUGUGAUUCUGCAGCGUGUAAAUGAGACCAGUACUCCUUCACAAGUUGUCCAAAAAGUGAACCUUCCGUCUUCAUUAACUUCUCCGGCUCGUCGAACUCGACUAGUUUUCCUGAAAUAGAACAAAAACAGCUCAGUGAUACAUCUUGGAAUUUCUUCCGAGAUUUAUCUACAUGAAGUUGCAGCUACAGUCGUCUCUCGUUCUCAAGUGUUUUUCUCUCUCUCUCUUUUUUUCAAAUGGAAAUCAAGGUUUGGCAGUAGAUCGCCUUGUAGCUCUGGUAUUUUGGGGUCACUCCAGAACAAUAAGCCUCUGCUAAGAUGUUGGAUGGCAUGGAUGAAUGAUCAGCUACAUGAGAUUAUCUUGGAGUGGCGACAAAUCAGUGCAAAUCCACAAAGUCACGAUGUGCAGGAUACAGACAAGUGCAUUUUUUAGAUAAGAAAUAAAGAAAUGAAACUUACCAUCGCUAAUGGAAAGUACCAUUGUGCAAUCCAUCACUGUUGGUAUCCUGUGAGCUACUGUGAUUACAGUGCAAUCUGAAAAUUCAGUCCGAAUAGUCUUUUGCAAAACCAAGUCCGUUGCAUUAUCAAUUGAUGCAGUUGCUUCAUCAAGUACCAGUACCCUACUCCUCCUCAAAAGGGCACGUCCCAAGCAAAAUAAUUGUCUCUGCCCCAUGCUCCAAUUCGAUCCAUCUUCCACAACUGUGUUGCAGCUUGUUAAUCAUUCUCUGGCUAUUACAAUCGAAAGCAUACACUCAUUAUUUUCCAUGUAGGGGAAGAAAGCAUACCUAAAGAGUCUAGACCCUGCUCUUUCUCCUGUACAGCCUCUCGAAGCUGACACUUUCCGAGAACCUUUGAAAAUAAGGAACAAAGUUUCAAGUUAGAAAGCAUGAAGGUAGAAAACAACGGUUCCGCUGGUUUAUAGACAAUGAUUACUAGAUUAAAAUGUCAAAUGAACUGGAAAAGUUACCUCCCAUAUCUCCUGGUCAGUAUGCUGGGAUAAGGGGUCCAAAUUGUAUCUCACAGUCCCGUUAAAGAGAGUAGGAUCUUGAGGUAUUAUUCCGAGUCGUGACCGCAGAUCAUGAAGUCCAAUCUUAGAGAUGUCAAUUCCAUCUACGAUGAUCUUUCCUCCAGCUGGUUCUACCAGUCGAAAUAGAGCACCUAUAAGUGUAGUCUUCCCACUGCCGGUUCGACCAACGAUUCCAAUCUUGUGCCCUCCUUCAAAUGUGCAGCUGAUUCCUCGAAGAACUAGUGGUGAGUUAGGCCUGUAUCUAAUCUGUUUGAUACUAAACUUUUUCAGUCUGCUAGCCUUCACCAAUUGUCUCAUUAAACACCAAUAAAUCAUAGGAGUAAGACUAACCUGCAAAUCACAAAUAUCCACUUUACCCUUUUCCGGCCAAUUCGAUGGAGGUCGGUUAUCUUUAAUCACCUCAGGGGCUUCACUUGGUAUGUGCAUGUAUUGAUUAAGCCUUUCAACAGAAAUGAUGUAAUUUGCUAAUGUGCACUGGUUUUGAAUCGAAAACACCAGCGACAUAUUUAAUGAAAGUCCAUAAGAAAGUGCCAUUCCAAUAAAUCCUACAGUAAUGGAAGUAUUACAACGAGUCAGAAUUGGGAAGCUCGUAAUAUUAUGUGUUCAAAAAAAGUUGAAGAAAAGUAAAGCAUAAAUGCUCACCAGAGUUAAAAGUUCCAGUAGGUAGUAAAACCAUGCAGAGUGCUGCAGAGGCAAGAACAGUUGCACUAACUAUUUCAAGCCGUUGAAUCAACCACUCAUUUGCAGCAAAACUGUGGAAGAAAGGACUAGCAUUUAUGUCAAUGAGGUUAAGGGUUUUUUUGAAGAAACGUUCUUCCUCCUCAAAGGCCCUUAUUGUCAUGGCUCCUGCUACAGAUUCAGCCACAUGAUUUGACACUAAAGACUUGGUUGUGCCAUUGAUCCGCAUCAAUUCCUUAGCAGAGGCAAAGUAAUAUGCCUGCAGAUAAGAAUGAGAAAAUCCUUAAAUCCACUCUAUAAAUGUAAAAUCAUCCUCAAUGGUAGUGGUCCUCAAAAGAAAGAGAUCAUAACAGCAUGCUGCCACUUCCAACCAUAUAAUCAUAUAAACAGUACUAAUACAAUUGAAAGUUCAUGUGAUAAAUUGUACUUGUGUUACAUUGCAUUGAUUCUUCACAGGUAGUAAGAAAGUUGUUCUAAAAAAUCGUUGGGAUGAUAAACAGUUUCAGAAGAAAUACGAACUCCAGGCAGUUUGGUCAAUUUGAAGCUCACUGCAAGAAAACCUUUGGCCUUUUUUUUAAGCCUACAAUCUACAUUCCUACAUGUGGCAAUUUAAGACAUUAAACAUCAAAUUAUUCUAUAAAAAAUGAUUAGUUACGUUUCAUUGCAUUGAACUUAUUACAUGGUCACAAGUUGUAAGGAAUUUUUUCUUAAAAUGUAGAGGAGACGGUAUCCUGUGGUUUCAGAAGAACCACACUCCAUGCAGUUUGGGUGAAUUGAACAGCUCAUUGUAAGAACUGUUUUUAGCCUUUUUUUUAUAAUUAUUAUUCUUGAAGCCUCAAGUCUGCUUUCCUGAUUAUUUAGAUUGGGCCAUUGCCAAGCUUCUCACAAUUCCAAACCACUCAUGUAAGAGGAUAACAUAAUUACCUGUAAGCGAAUAGCCAAAUAAAUCAUUGGUAUGGAGACAAACAGGACUUGCCAGGUCACAACAGCCAGUACUCCCAGGUUACUAUAAGCAUUUGUGGUUGCACCAACGGCCAAGAUCAAAGUGAAUGGAACAUCAAGAUCGACAAUGCUCAAAUCUGACGUGACCUAUGAGACAUAAAAUAAAAGCAGUUCCAGGUCAACAGUUACACAUCAUUCCUCAUGAAGGAAACAACAUUUUCUGGGUGGGAUGCUUACCCGACUCAGUAUUCUUCCAAGAGGCGUGGAGUCAUAGAAAGACAUGGGUGCACGAAAAAGAGAAUUUAGUAGCUGGGAAAAUAAUGACUUGGAUGAUUGAAGACCCAAAACAACUAUAGAGAUUGAUCUACAUAGCAAGAAAAGUGUUGAGGUAACUCCGAUACACAGAUAGACCGCAAUUAAACGCAAUGUGCUGACAUGAGGAUCAUCAACAUUAGCUGCCAUCCAAGAGUUCUGUGCUAUCUGACCAAUGACAAACAACAGGUGACAGAAAGCAGCGAUGGAGAAGUACAAGUAUCCUUUGUUUUGAUUUAGAUACUGCACGUAAGGCUUAAACCCUGUGUCUCCCACCUCCUUUUCUUCCUGCUUAAUCAGUUGAUCUCCUUCAGAGGUUUUAAUCUGACCCUCUACAUAACUCUUCUUGAUCUCCCUAACAGACGAUCCCUGUCUCUGCGGAGCAUCAACCUCGGUAUGCCUUUCAGAACCAGCUGUUUCUUUGUGUGCAUUGACAAGGUCCAGAAAUUCUUGGCUUGACGACAGUAACUGAUGAUAAGGAGCGGCUUGUAGGAUUUCUCCAUCUGACAUCA
Molecule: long non-coding RNA, 20863 nt
Filed under: Populus tremula
Lineage: Eukaryota; Viridiplantae; Streptophyta; Magnoliopsida; Malpighiales; Salicaceae
Description: long non-coding RNA (PTRE_LNC001115)
Source: RNAcentral